This 121-nucleotide small nucleolar RNA is filed under the name Echinops telfairi (small Madagascar hedgehog). Its description in RNAcentral is "Small nucleolar RNA SNORA61 (ENSETEG00000025362.1)". The record is from RNAcentral. Lineage: Eukaryota; Metazoa; Chordata; Mammalia; Afrosoricida; Tenrecidae.
GUACUGCAGAUUGCUUACCCAUCAGACUUAAACACUGCUCCGAGUGGUUCUAAAAGGAGGGAAAGUAGGCUUAAAAUGGACCUACAUUCUUUUGUGACACACGAGCUAGUUUCAAAGAAAC